CCCGGGCCUUGUACACACCGCCCGUCACAUCAUGAAAGCCGGCUGUACUAGAAGUCCCCGCGCCGACCGCAAGGGGGUAGGGGCCCAAGGUAUGGCGGGUGAUUGGGGUG
RNAcentral lists this ribosomal RNA (110 nucleotides) under uncultured bacterium. RNAcentral describes it as "partial 16S ribosomal RNA". It matches the Rfam family "Bacterial small subunit ribosomal RNA", at positions 1373 to 1482 of the family's 1533-position model. The record is from RNAcentral.